Neopsephotus bourkii (Bourke's parrot) is the source of this 2131-nucleotide long non-coding RNA. RefSeq lists it as uncharacterized. NCBI's taxonomy places the organism in Eukaryota, Metazoa, Chordata, Aves, Psittaciformes, Psittacidae. The transcript is spliced from 3 exons. The record is from RefSeq and is a predicted model, not a curated record.
UUGAUGUACAGCAGCUGAGUUGUCAUGCCCAUGCAGUAUGGGAAGUGGAUGGUAGCAGUGCUCCUGGGGAUCUUUCCUGCUGUGACUUCAAGGUUCUUUCUGUGAAAACUAUAAAUGCUCCGUCCUUCCCAAAGCCUUCUCAGGCCUGCUGCACAGAGUGUAUAAUAUGCUGAUACUGGAGAUUUUGCUCAGUUUUAUACUCAGAAGGCUGUAAUCUGCUAAUGCCUAUCGCUUCUGGAGGUGAGACCAUGCAGUGAGCUCAGAGAGAUUGCUGCAUCUGGAAGCACUACAGAAAUGUGCCUCAGGCAGGUGCUAUCUCUUCCAGUCCUCAGCAGCUGCCAAACCUCGCUGCAGCUCCCUCACCUGAAGUGUGAAAGGGCAAAAUCUGUCUGGCUGGAGAACAUCCAUCCCACAGAAAGGGAGUUUAAUGCUCACCAGUGCCAUCCAACUACUCAGAAGUUCCCACUUUUGGACAUGUUGUAUUCCUGUCAUUGUCCAGGACAAGUGUGGCAGACACCUUGAUUUCUCUAGGCUGUGCAUCCCAUCCAGGAGAUACUGGUAAGUUAGCAGGGUUUGUUUUUCACCUUCCCCCAUUAGAUUAGCUUCAGCUGGUUGGGAAGUUGGCCUGGGAAUGGAGUGAGCGUGGGAAUCCACAGCAGCCACCCACCCUUGACUUGAGACACAGCUGCAGGGGUAAGGAAGGCAGAAGCUUCCUAUGGACAUCCUGCCGUAGCAGAGAUGUGGACACUUGUGUAUCACCCACAUAAGUGAAGUUUUCCUUUCCCAGUCCGUUCCUACCCACAUUCAUGUCAAAGAAGGGGACAAACCCCAAAUAUCCACAGCAAAAUAGGCACGGAUGAAAUUACUAUAAGAAUAGUAAUUUUUAAAAGGUAAUGACUUAUCCACUGGUGCUGGGGACAGCACAAGUUCUGAGGGAAAGAUGUUCUUUUUCUCUCCAUAAGUGCCUGAGGGGUAUUCAUUUGCUGAAAAGCAUUUUCUCCUGUAUGCUUGAGAUGGUUUGAAAUGCUUCCAGGAACACAGCCAAUUCCCACCUUCAGCUCCCCCCCUGCCUUGUCCUUUCCCAGUGGGCUGUCCUUCCAGUGAGGAAAUGCAAAGGGAGGGUAAGCUGCUCCUGCUGCCUCUGAAGGUCACAGGCACAAGGGGCUCAUGCUGGCUCCUUGGGACAGUGUCUCAGCACAGAUUCCAGCAGCAUCUCCUGCUCGCUGCACCUGUUGGCAAGGUAUGCAUAUGGCUGUCAGCACUUCUGGAGGAGAAUGUUAAUGUUUGCAUGUUUUAGCAGUCUGAUCAAGCAUCCAACACUCAUCUGGUGGGAGAAGAAAUGAGAGAAGAGAGCAAAAAUUGAGGCAGAGACCUCCUAGCAGUGAAUCUUGCCUUUGAUGUUUGGGACAGAGUAUGGCUUGUGUUAACGUAUCUUUGCAGCUGUGCUGGCAUGGGUGGACUUUAAACCAGCCAUACAGGGAACGCAGUCAGCUCAUACACCCCUGGGGCAGCAGCUCUGUUUGUGUUUUGUAGGGGUAUGCACAUGGUGAUGCAGAACCCACAGGUACUAUGAGUCUCUAUAGCAGCUUUUACAAACAGAGGCCAUUUAAAGCAGCCUGGAGGUUGCUCUACUCUGUACCAGUGGCAGAUUUUGCCUUUGGCCCAUGCCAGGAUCAGGAGGAGUGGAAAAAAUGCCUCUGCCUAUCAUUGCCUUGCUACGAUAGCUACACCGAACAGCUCUUUACUCUGUUAAAUCUGAUUUCCUCAGUGCUAUUUAUGGUAUAAAAGCAAAGGGUCUCUGGAGUAAGACUGAUUGCAAAACCAGUGUAAAAGCAAAGAAAAUUAGGUCUGUUCUACUGUUAGCCAGCAUGUAAUUUUUAGCUGCAGUGAGCAUAUUGCCACAAACCUUGUCAGGAAACAAACUGUGUGGUGAUCAGAAGUACCUGGGGAGAAUGCGCUUACUGAUGUGUGAAAUGCCUCGGCCGUCACUCAAGCGAUCCUCGCAGCUCCAAGGACAAAUAAGCAGCAUCUGUGUUAAUGCUCUUUGCAGCAUUCAGUGCUGGUGGCUGCAUUUUGGGAGCCCAGUGGUGGAGUGAGCCCUCACUGCUCUCCAAUCGGCUACACGUCCAUC